RNAcentral lists this small RNA (120 nucleotides) under Pseudomonas sp. RNAcentral describes it as "Guanidine-I sequence". It matches the Rfam family "Guanidine-I riboswitch aptamer". Rfam says of the family: This family represents a conserved RNA structure found upstream of the ykkC and yxkD genes in Bacillus subtilis and related genes in other bacteria. The function of this family is unclear although it has been suggested that it may function to switch on efflux pumps and detoxification systems in response to harmful environmental molecules. The record is from RNAcentral. Lineage: Bacteria; Pseudomonadati; Pseudomonadota; Gammaproteobacteria; Pseudomonadales; Pseudomonadaceae.
ACAAUGGCCGACUAGGGUUCCGGCCCGCCCCACCAGGCGGGUGGCUGGUCCGAGAGUGGGCGACCUCAUAGAGCGGCGGGAAGCCGCGGGGUUACACGGCGGGAUAAAAGCCCGGGAGAA